RNAcentral lists this ribosomal RNA (467 nucleotides) under Gemella sanguinis. Its description in RNAcentral is "bacterial SSU rRNA". It matches the Rfam family "Bacterial small subunit ribosomal RNA", at positions 28 to 474 of the family's 1533-position model. The record is from RNAcentral. Lineage: Bacteria; Bacillati; Bacillota; Bacilli; Caryophanales; Gemellaceae.
GACGAACGCUGGCGGCGUGCCUAAUACAUGCAAGUCGAGCGAAGUUUUUCUGGUGCUUGCACUAGAAAAACUUAGCGGCGAACGGGUGAGUAACACGUAAAGAACCUGCCUCAUAGACGGGGACAACUAUUGGAAACGAUAGCUAAUACCGGAUAACAGCAUAAAUCGCAUGAUAUAUGUUUAAAAGUUGGUUUCGGCUAACACUAUGAGAUGGCUUUGCGGUGCAUUAGCUAGUUGGUGGGGUAAAGGCCUACCAAGGCGACGAUGCAUAGCCGACCUGAGAGGGUGAUCGGCCACACUGGGACUGAGACACGGCCCAGACUCCUACGGGAGGCAGCAGUAGGGAAUCUUCCGCAAUGGGCGAAAGCCUGACGGAGCAACGCCGCGUGAGUGAAGAAGGAUUUCGGUUCGUAAAGCUCUGUUGUUAGGGAAGAAUGAUUGUAUAGUAACUAUAUACAGUAGAGACG